ACACGACUACAUUAGAUACCCCUGUAGUCCUAGCCGUAAACGAUACUCGCUAGGUGUCGGCCACGGUGCGACCGUUGUCGGUGCCGUAGGGAAGCCGUGAAGCGAGCCACCGUGGGAAGUACGGCCGCAAGGCUGAAACUUAAAGGAAUUGGCGGGGGAGCACAACAACGGGUGGAGCUUGCGGUUUAAUUGGAUUCAACGCCGGAAAUCUUACCGGGACCGACAGCAACAUGAAGGCCAAGCUGAAGACUUUGCCGGAUUAGCUG
RNAcentral lists this ribosomal RNA (266 nucleotides) under uncultured archaeon. RNAcentral describes it as "partial 16S ribosomal RNA". It matches the Rfam family "Archaeal small subunit ribosomal RNA", at positions 717 to 982 of the family's 1478-position model. The record is from RNAcentral.